GCUGGCGGCGUGGAUAAGACAUGCAAGUCGGACGAGAUUUUUCGUUGUAGCAAUACGAUGGAAAGUCUAGUGGCGAACGGGUGCUUAACACGUGGGCAAUCUGUCUUAAAGUGGGGGAUAGCUCGGCGAAAGCCGAAUUAAUACCGCAUGUGAUUAGAGUGGACAUCCAUUCGAAAUUAAAGUCGGGGCAACCUGACGCUUUUUGAGGAGCCCGCGGCCUAUCAGCUUGUUGGUGAGGUAACGGCUCACCAAGGCUUUGACGGGUAGCUGGUCUGAGAGGACGACCAGCCACACUGGGACUGAGACACGGCCCAGACACCUACGGGUGGCAGCAGUCGAGAAUUUUUCUCAAUGGGGGAAACCCUGAAGGAGCGACGCCGCGUGGAGGAUGAAGGUCUUCGGAUUGUAAACUCCUGUCAUUGGGGAACAAGUCGCUUACGUUAACUGCGUGAGCGUUGAUAGUACCCGAAGAGGAAGAGACGGCUAACUCUGUGCCAGCAGCCGCGG
This 507-nucleotide ribosomal RNA is filed under the name uncultured soil bacterium. RNAcentral's name for it is "bacterial SSU rRNA". It matches the Rfam family "Bacterial small subunit ribosomal RNA", at positions 35 to 520 of the family's 1533-position model. The record is from RNAcentral.